Molecule: long non-coding RNA, 23573 nt
Filed under: Fragaria vesca (wild strawberry)
Lineage: Eukaryota; Viridiplantae; Streptophyta; Magnoliopsida; Rosales; Rosaceae
Description: long non-coding RNA (FVES_LNC003213)
Source: RNAcentral
ACAGGAUGAUUAACUUUUGCAGUGAUGGAAAGCAUUCAUUGCAGAAUGUGCCUCUAGCAGUCCUGCGAUACAACUCUGCACAUGAACCAAAGGCAAAAGUCGGUAGGAUCCACAUAUCUGCAGUAGAAAUGGUAGUACAGGACAACAGGUGAGCCACCAUGUUCAUUUGAACUUCGUCUGAAGUGCAUUAGUCUAGAAUCAUUUGCAUUUCUGCAUCAGCAUUCUCGAAACCUCUUCUUCAGAGACAAGAUAACAAUGAGAGCUACAUGAGUUUUCCUUAUACGGACUUGGUCGCAACGCCUGCAUUGUACAAAAAAGUCAAAUUAAUGUCUGAAUGUCUUCCCUUCUUAAAUGAUAGAAUCCCAUAAUUUAAUGAAAAAGUUUCCAGGCUUUGUAGGAGAGAAAAAACAAGAUUAAAUGUCAGCACAAUGGAAUAAAAUAAGAACCAGACCUGAUUAUUUGAACUUGUCACAGUAGCCCAUUGACGAGGAUGCUGUGGCCCCACUCCAGCGUGGCUGAUGAAUGCAAUUGUUGUUGAUUGUUCCCGUCGGCGAUUAGUGUGGGGGUGGCAAUUCUCUCAUGAACCACAACACAAAAGCUGAGGGUACCCAAGAGCCUGAAGAUAGAAGGGAAGAUAAUACUUGAUGACUAACUUUUUUAUUUUUGGUCAAAAAUACUUGAUGACAAACUUGAAAAGCAAAAUUGCAAGCAGCUGAAAAUGGAAGAUAGUAUUACCUAUAAAAUAGUACAGCAUCAGGAAAACUAGCGCUUUCCCGCCAUAUGCUUUUUUCAGACUCCAAGGAUCAUAUAGCUGGCAAAGAAUUAAAGUGAAUGGUAAACAUGAAAGAAGUGGCACAAAGCAGUAAGUAAGAUCGUUCCUUACUGCCAAGGGCUGCCAGAUGACACAGCCUUGGACUUGGCUGCGGUUUUGCGCAUGGUGAUUCUGCCCCCACCGAAGAUGUUAGAUGCAGCUGGACUAAGCUGCGCAGCUUGGCCAGCUAGAGAAGGAGAAAACAGAGCCAUUGUUGACGCAGCCAUUUGAGAAAAAUGUAUCUAGUCUGGUUAGACUUGGAUAAUGGGAUGUGAUGGCUGUUUGUUUUGUGAUGGUAAGAGACCUUGGUGGGCAUAUUUAUAGCUCUGGUGAUAGGGAUUAUGCAUUAUCUGUGUGAUAUCUUUAUCUCUAUUCUCAUUGGUGAAAAUGAAGUUCAAAGAUUUUCAAUAUAUCUUCAUGGAGAAAAUCUUCUACUCUGAUAUCUUUAUCUCUACUCUCAUGUGAUUCUUUCUAGUUGGCAUCAGAUGUUCCACUUGUUUAGUUCAGAAAAUCUGAAAGACAAUGAAGAGAUUAUCUCAUUGUUUUCAUUUAUUUUUAAGUUUAGAUACUUUCAUCUGUAGCCAGUAGUAUUUCCAAGUAAUGACACAUUCAUUUCCAGUUGGCUUGUGAUUUUAUAUGGUGUUGAGAGCAUCAACAUAUAUGCUUUGAUCUCAGUCCAAUAGACUUUUGGUAAGCAAUCGGCAAGUCAAUGAGACCAAAGGAUUAUAGGAUAGCAGGGAAAUAUUUACAUGUGAGAAUCUGUGAACACUGAAUCUAACAAGAAUUUAGUAUUUUAAUUAUGACACAGAAAUUGAUCUUACUGUACAAAGAAAAUCCUUGAAACUAAUUUCAUUGUUGAUAUGAAUGGUGCAGACCACAUCCACAAUAUCAUGAUUGUAAAAUCAUUACUACUGAGAUACAAAUCUGAACUGGAAAGAUUUUUAUGCAGGGAAGUAGGAUUCUGAAGUUGAAUUACUAGUAUACUGGGGUUCUAUGUAUUUUAGUCGAAACAGAACUGAACUACAAAGUGAUCGAUUCUCAAGUGCUGAGCCUGUCGAAUACAUACUCAUCCUAACCUCAUUUGGCUUCAUUGAGCGUAAACUAAAUGAUAUAACCUUAUUUUCCAGUACUAGAGCAGAAAAGUUAGCUAAAGCAUCUCAACAACAUCAUCAUUAGCUAAACAAUCUGGAAUUUGAUGUAAUAUACAAAGUGACCAAUCUAACUCAAUGUCAUCACAGUUUUACUGUUAAUCAACUAAAGGAGUUGCAGCAACUCAAAUAAUAACUUGUGAGCUACCUUAUAUGAGAUUUGCUCGUAACUAACAAAGAUCUAGAAGCAAUCCAUGGUCAUGCAGUUACUCAACUACAUGAUAAUCAUGGCAACUCAAAUAAGGACUUAAUAUUACCACAUAUAUGAGUUCCCUAGCCAACAGAGAUUCUAGCAUAACUGAGUCAUUUGUGAGAUUAUGAUUGAAUUACAAAUCAAGACAAGAAAACAAACUCAUUAGUUGACACAAGUCCGACUGAGGAACAAACAUACCUGUCGGAGUAAAUGUAACUUAUUUAUAGUGUAGAGCAGUCGCCACCCCGGAUUCAAGAGGAGUCAGGUAUCCAAUCUUUUGGCAAUGACGAUUUGAAUAUUCGGAGGAGCAAUGUCCUCUCCUUUCUCCCUAGCUUCUUUGCACCAUAUCCACGGAAUACACCAAGCUUAAGUGCCUUUUUCCCUUCUUCCACCGCUUGUUUUCUCACGGCCACCAAUAAAUCUGUCCCUUGGGGAUCAAUGCUGUUCUCUUCUUUUUCACUUUCACAUUUCUCUUUGUUUUCUGCAAUUGAACUUGCGCCAUCCGCUAGUUUGUUGGACUGAUGCUUGUUUUCUUCAUCAGCCUUAGCUGCUUCUCCACGGAUGCCCUUAUCACAAUCAAGGCUAUUGCUUCCCCACCAUCUAUUGGAUGCAGUUGAUAAACCUUCAGAUGGGAAUCCAUUUUUCAAUUCUUCCAAGGUUGUACCUUUGGUCAAGCUUAACGUGAGAAGAUUGUGAGGCCGUCCAGUCUGAACAUUUUUGCUUCCUUGCUGCUGCAAAUUAUUAGAGGCCAUGACACCUUGUGGUUUCGACUGCAUUACUGGGUGUUGGGAAUCACUGCAUUUAAAAAUGAAGGCUAAAGAAUAUGAAAGGGAACAAUGAACAAAAAAAGGUUCACCAGGAACAUUUAAUCUCAUGACCAAUCUGUUGGUCAAAAUGUCUAUCACGAUUGAGUUGGUUCAAACAAAACAAGUAGAAUGCACCAAAAGUAGUGUCACAGAGAGGAAUAUCAAAGAUGAGUAACAAUAAACAAAGAGGGUAAACACCACCAGGUAGCAGCUUUAGAUUAGUAUUUUAUGAUUCUCAGACUCUUCUUCAGACAUAGUCAGAUAUACAUAACUUAUAAGGUUUGAUGGCUAUCUGCUUCAUCAAUGAUCUAAAGACAGGAUUUUGAUGUGAUUUAUUUUCAAUAUCCAACAAUAUUUCUGACCCAUGUGUAAUUGAUUUCAGUAUAUCAUUAGAUGUGCAGCACAAUCUUCUGUUCUUUGGUUAUGUAUCCGUAACCCAAAACCAACCAACUCUAGAUAAAUCUAAGCCUAACAAGAAGUCAUCAAGUAAUAAAGGAUAUGCAGUCAGGGGGAUCAGCAAUCAUUUGAAACCCGAGUCCCAAGUGUGUGCCAAGUGAGCGUCUGAUCAACACACAAGCACGAUGCAAAAUGCUCUCCUAACCUUCAAGCAAAAGAGACUUGGGCACCAUAAUCUCUAAAAUAGCAUCUCAAGCACCCGUAAGAUCUCACCUUUGGCGAUUAUAUCAAAUACAGGACCAAGAGUAGCCGAAGCUAGAUUGCGAAAAACAUCAGAUCUUUAUGUACCAAUCUUUGGCAUCUAACUUCGUUGCUUCUAUUCUUCUCCAGACAAAUUGCAUUCUCUACGAAUAUGCUGCAAAUUUCACUCCUAAUCUAUGGACAUCCAACCCAAAAUCUUGACCAAACCUUUUCAACUUUUCUAGAGUAGAUUCAAAAUCAUUUAGCAACACACACACAAGGGAAUCUAAUACAAAAAGCACAGACCUUUUGGAAGCAUGAAUUUGAAGGUUCUUUCGGGAAUUAAAACGUAAAGACAUAAAAAAGCGAAGCACAGGAAACAGAAUAAGAGAGAAGCUCGCUUACAAUUGGGCUGUUGUUGUUGACUUGUUGUGGCUGCUGUUCUAGUGUGGCUACUGCUUAAGCUCUCAAUUUCAGACACCCAAAAGUGGAGAGCUCAGAGUCGAAGAGCGCGUCGGCUACUUGAAAGACAAAAGUCUCUCUGUUCUAUAUUGUUUAAGCAACCAACACGUGGCAGAAUCGUGUUUCUCAGGAUUCGAAUAUUCUAUUAUGUGGUAACCGGUAAGAUUGAUCGAGCGACCUAAUACCUAAUGUCUAGUGUUCGAAUUCUAACUCCUCCUGCUUUGUGGCCUUCAGAAUUGGGAACUUUGGAUUAGCAAAGCGGGGGGUACAGGCUCUAGACGACAUCAUUGCCAAUUGCUUCUAAUCUGCCAAGUUUAAAAACAAUUUUUUUUUUUUUACCCUUUUCUUCUGAAUAUAAAUUGACGAAAUUUACCGCGGAAUGUUUGAAUAAAUUUCACAAGUACUAGACUAUUCUUCUAUUUUAAGGCGCCUCUAUAGAUUGAAAAUGAAAUUUGGAGCUCAUCAUCCUGAGAUUAAAGGAGGUACAGAAUCUGGUUUAUGAGGUAUAUGUUGAACCAUAAGGUGUCUACUAUGAAGCUUACUAAGCCAAAGCUAGUCAGCUAGAGGUUCUCUGCUCCAAAUGAAUAUUCAAAAUUUUCAAUUUAAAAUCAAAAGCUAAAAUCAAUAGCAGUUCAUGAAUCAAGUGAGCUUCUAUCCUAAUGAUGUACAUGAAAAAUACAAGAAAAAGAUAUACAAGUCACUCUACUUGAUCUGCCUCAUAAAAACUAACUCCUAUGAUGCUAUAGAAUUUCACAUGAAUAAACUAGUGUGGACAUGACCUGAGAUGAUAAGAACUUCACAGUGCAUGGCAUCUUAAGUUCAUUCCCUAGCUUGAAGCCGUCGUCUUAUCCUUCCUUCCGGCAAGAAUCAUAGAAAUUUGUAGGCCUCGACUGAAUGCUUGGUUGAAGAGCAACCGUGUUUGGAACUCUGAGACAAAUGGGAACCAUGACAAAAUGGCAACAGGCGCGAAGACUACUACUCCCAUUAUAUAAUCAUAUGCUCUUCCCAGCUCCUUGAUUGAUUCCCAGAAUCCUACUCCCUUAAGCAUUGGCCUGCAUACUUGCCCGAUCUAGGAAGGACAAUAUAUAAAUGGUUUCAGUGAAUACAAUCCAUUACAAAACACUUGUGUACAAAAAGAAAAGAAGAAAAAAAAAACUACUGUUAAGAGAACCAAGAUACACCCUAUUUAUUUUAGUCUGAGGAGUACUAAACGGAUGAUAUAGUCUAAGAUGUGUACUAGUAUAAUACAUGAAAUGAGAAAUCUGAAGGCACUAAGUGCAGAUAACCAGAGACAGAAAAGAUACUUACAAGAAGAAGUGCCCACCCUGUGGGCAAGAAGGCAAGGAUAGAGGCAAACAGAUCUGAAAUAGUAAGCCCACAGACAACAAAUAGUACAGUCAUGACCGACAUGAAACCAAGGAAAAGAAGUGCUUUCAGAAUUCUGAACAUGAGCUGAAAGUCGGUGCCAAAUCUUCGUCUACCCAUUGACACCAUCUGACAGAAAUGUAACAAACAAGCAAGUAACAUCAUUCAUUUGAUACUAUAUAAACUUCCCAGGAAAAAAUGAUACUGAUAAAAGUAGAAAAGGUAUGCACAAACUGUCAUGUUAUCUAUAACGUUAUCUAUAACUCGAAUGAACCUAAACAACUUAUACUUCAAAAACAUUCAUAACUUACACGUAAAAAUUUGGCUUAAUCUCUAAACAAAGUUUAAUGCUUUAUUUGCGAUUUUCUUGUGCAUACCUUUAAGACGAGAAGCACUGUUACCAUAACCACCCAAGAAAGUCCAUAAACCUACACACAAAUUGAAAAAAGGUGGUCAGUCCUGAACGUCAAAAGCAAAAAGAGACAACAUACUGAUAUAUAUUUGAACAUAAAUAGUACCAGUAAACUCUUGCUGAAAUGAGCUAUAUCGAGGUGGUAAACAAUCCCAUAUUGGUAAAAGAAGAAGCGAAAUGCAAGCAUUAUCUCAAGAAUUCUUCCACGGAUAAUAGUGUGCUUAAGGUGUUCCUGCUCUUCAUCCCACCAUGAUUCCCAACUUUUGUCAGGUGAGAUCCCAAUACCACCACGAUUUCCCAUCCACCUCUUCCAAUCAGUCCAAUCAUCUACAGUUUUUUGCCAGUCAAAGCUGGACGGAUUAAAGAUGAAUGGAGCAAACAACCAGGAAGCAACCAGAAACCACAUGGAGAAUGUGAUGAAAAAAUACAGAUUUGAACUCCUAUAAGCAUUCCCGUAGACUCCAUAUACAAUCAGCAGAAUCAACAGCUCCAACCCUUUCACAAAGUGACUUCUUGAGUACAGCCUGUAGUUAUCGGCAAACUUUGCAUGAAAAACCACAAAACCACGGCCAGUUGCUCUAUAUUUAGAUCCACCAUGUAAGAUUGUCCUUCCGUAAUAAUGUGCUUUUGUUCCUAGUUGGAAAGUGAAGAAAACAGAAGCCAGCUGCAGCUGCAUGAUGAUGAAAUCACCCAAGGCAGUGCGAAAUCCUUUCUCCAGACCAAUUUCCAUAACCAUGGGGAGGACCAGCAACAACCCCAGUUGAAAGACAGACUGUGUAGCCAGAGCUUCUUCAAAAGCCUUGGUCUGAUGUAUGGCUGGGCUAUCCAGGAUCUCACUUUCCAAUCCACUCAUAACCAUAUAUAGACGUCCAUACAAAAACACAUAGACAGUCAGCACAGUUACCUGAAACAAAAUAGUAUCCGUAUCAAACAGAAAUACAUUACCAAAAUACUGCACCCCAAGAAUAUCUGCCUAGAAAAGUAAAACCAAAGCGAACCAAAACAAAUCCUCAUGUUUACUCUUGUUUCCUAUUCACCACUAAGUUUCAGUCAAUUCAAUUGUAUGGUAGGAUGACUUCUUUAUCAAUGAUACCACUAAUGUAAAAAAGAAAUACACUGAAGAAAGAUUGUAUUACGAAAUAAAUAAUGGAAGCACUUAGAUCAACAAGCAGUUGGCCUGAAGCUGUCAUCAACAUGUGAAAUGGGUAGCAUGCAUAAUGGUUGUACAGUUAUUUGAGAAUCCAAUCCCUUCACCUGAAUCAACACCAUCUAACCUAGUACUUUAGAGAAAGGUGAUUUAAUAUAGUUGUUGAUUAUAAACUAACAUAUUCAUUAUAACUCGUUGAUAUAAAGUAUAAACUAUGAAAGAACCAAGUCAACUAAUGAAAGGAUAAUUAGUUUGGAUUGCAUACCAUGCUACUAAAAUAGAACCCAACUGUUGUGAAGUAAAAGGACAGCAUUCUAUAGAAAUCAAACCGACGCCCAAGCCUAUAAACAUCACGGCUAAGUGUCUGCUCUCCAUUCCCAUUUGCAACUUUAGCCUCGAAAAGUGAUAUUUGAUUCAUUCCAACAUCACGCCCCUUGCCUACUUGGAUAUACUCAUGAUGUGUUAUAAAUCCCCCACGCAGAACAGAAUUGUAACCUGAAGACAUACAAACAAUUAGUCAAAAACAUUCAAUACUUACUAGACAGGGAUCUUCUCAUGAAUGAAAAAUAUACCUGAAAAUAUAUCCUCGCUUAAGUUAAUUACUUUCGAUGCUUUGCUUAUGCCACCCCUUGUUAUGUGGAAGAGUCUGUCAAAAAUAUCCGGAUGGCCAUAAUGAAACCGUACCCUGUCAUGGUAGAAUGUUAUUAGAUGGAUGGGUACUUGAACGGUAAUAGUAUAAACAGGGGGAAAAUGACAAGGAAAGAAGAUGAUGCUAGUAACUCUAGAUUGGGACUCAACUGUAGCUCAAGUUGAACGUAAAAUAUAAGGCAUACCUCAGUGGAUUUGCCAAAAUUCGUUGGCCUAUAGUGACAAAACUAGUUUCUUGAUUGGACAUGAACCAAGCAAGUGAUGAAACACUGUAGAUCAGAGGUUGAACAUAAUAAAUAGGAUUGUAACAGUGAAAAUAUGCAGAAAAUAUUAUACGAAAUCCCAAUCCUAGCAGUCAUGAAGGUCAAAUAUAUUGUGAAUAGAUAUGUGAAAAGGCUGACCUUCCAGUAAAAAUAUGUUCCCUUAGACCCAAUAUCGUAGGUUUCCGCUGCCCCCGUCGGGGCUUUCGGAAUUCCUCCAAUACAUUUCUCAUUUUGAAAGCUUCCUCAAAAUAAUUAUCCUGUAUAAAAUUUAUUAGUAAAUAUACAAAAACACAGUUAAACACUUUCUAAUUUUGCAUAAAGGUGCAAUGAUUGCUACCUGAUUCAUGUCAAUGGUUUGCAGGGCUUCUCCACGAGUAAAGACGAUGGCAUGGUUUUGAUUUUCAGGUUUUCCUUCACCAAUUACUGUUGGAGGACCUGGAAGCUUGAUGCGGUAUAUUUCCUAGCAAAGAAACAAGACUCCUCAACUGAGAUAUUGACUGUUAGCCACAUUUGCUGCUUAUAUGAGACAUUAAGCUCAACAAAGGUAGGUAAAGGCUCUUCAUUAUUCCAUUAUAAGUAUGGAUUCCUCAAGAAUUGCUACUUUAGAUGGUACUGAGAUAACAUACAAGUGCACAGAUAUAUGAUGUUAUUUCCUUCCUUACCUCAUCCCAUUUGUCCCCUCCCUUGACCAGCACAGAAAAAUAAAUCUUUUGGGAUUUUCCAUUCACUGUCUCCUCUCUUGUAUCUAUGUAAGCAACCCGUAGAGAAGGAUACCUACAAGACGGUUUCAUGUGUAAAGAUCAUAUCAAUUAUUCAUAUUACAAAGGCUACAUAGUGUUCAUAUUAUGGUGAUAACUCACGUUAACAUCAGCUUGAGAAUAUUUGUGUAACAACUUUUGUCACGACUUUCACUGGAUUUCUUCUGUUCACCGUAGAUUUGACAAGAAACUACAUAAGUGAACUUCAAAUCUGCCAGAGCUUGUGCCCGAUCAAGAAUAUCCUUCUCAUCAAUUUCACUUAAUAUCUGGGCUGGGUAGCCUCCAUAAACACCUGCAAAUAUCCGUUUUCCACAUUAUUUGCUUGUAAAGAUUUUGGAACUAAAAUCAUGAACGUCAAUCUGGAGUUGAAACACAUUUUUGUCAAAGGACCACUAACCACCAUCUCCUGCUGUUUCCAGGAUACAUUGAAGGUCUAGAGCCUUCCUAUAGUACAUCAUUCCUCUCACUAGCAGAAAAUACAGAUAAAAUGUUAAGAAUUGGACAUGGUACUUGUAUAAGAUACAAAGUUACAGAUUAUGCAGACCUGUUCUAGAAAGUGUCUGUCCCCUGUAAGAUACCCACUGGCGAAUUAACUCCGACUUGUCCUUGUCAGAGUACUCAUUCUUAUGUUCAUUUAUGCGGUCCUGGAAAUUUGUCCAUUCAUCUGUUGGUAGUCAUAGUUGGUUGACAGGUAUCAGUUCAUAUAAAUUUCAAACAACGAAAAAGAAUAAUCUAGAAAUGAGACUGAAAUGCACCAGGAUAUAUCUUCUGCAGGUAGAACAAGAUUGAGAUUCCAUCCUCAUUUUCCUUGUUAAGUUCAUCAUCAGAAUACAGAACAUCUUCUUUGUAAUAAGGAGUCAGAACACUGAAUCAUAAAUCAGGAAAAAGUGAUAUGUUACACAGGCAACUAUUAAAAUUUUAGAAGACCACUACAAUCACAUGGUUGACAAAAAUACACAUUCAUUCAUUGAAAAUAGAUCCUGAAGCAUACAUGUACUCCUCCAAAAUGAAAAGAGAAACAUAUCUUGACUACAAUUCCAUUAAGUCAGUAGGAAAGCUAUAGUGUUCCUUCACCUUUGACAUUAUUGCAGUAAUAUGUUAGUUUCUCUUUGUUUUUUAUUAUGUUGUUGUAGUUCACAAGCAACAUAACAGUUCCCACUGACAACUUUUCAAAAGAAAAAAGUUCCCAUUGACAAACCAGGAUUCCAUAAUGACUGACCUAAAGGAGAGCAUGUCACGAACUUUGGGAGCAUUUGGCAUGUUCAUGAAUAGAGAGUUCGCAAAGAAAGUAAUGCGCCUGCGAGCAUCCAAGUUUUGGGGCACAUUGAUGGCAGAUUCCUUGACGGUCAAAAGCAAAUGAAGCCUAACAACCUAUGUACAUGUAGAAGAAAAAAUAAGACCAAAAGAUUUUGGAUCUUCAGUUAUUGUCUUUGACACAAGAAUAUCUGCCAAAAUUACCUUCUCUCUCCAAGAUGGAUUUUGUGCAAGGUAUAUGUUGAUUUUUUCAAACCUUUGCUCCUUCUUGACAUUUUGACCCUCUAUGUAGUGAGCUUCUUCAAGAAUUCUGCGAAGAAAGAAGGACACCUAUUAACAUAUGGAAACCAAAGGGGAUCAAUAGGUGGUCAAAUAUAACAAUAUUUUUUACUGCCUCCAGUAUGCAUUUAUUCUCAGUCCUUACUCAUGGCCAUUCAUCAUUACAUCCUGUGUUAUAAUCUCCAUGAUAUCUUGAAGGACAUUGAUUAUCUGACGCAAGUAAUUAUCGACAUUCUCAUCUUCAGCUAGCUGUCAACAUACCAAUUUAGUAACUCAAACAUGACACUGUCUAAACAAUAUCUAUCAGUUCAUUGCUGAAAGCAGCAGUAAACAAUUAACCAAACAUUGAGGGAAGUAUAUUACCAAGAGUUUAAGAAACUUCUCCAACCUCUCACUAAGAAAUGGCAGCCCACUCAUCCGGAAAUUAAACAAAAACUUCUGCUGCUGUAUACUGCUGUCUACUUCAUAACAUAUCUGCCUUACAAUCCUGUUAAUGAGACGAAAGGAAAACAUUCAUGAAGCUUCUUCAAAGACUGCUAGGUUUCCUUUCUUGUUGAGAUAAAAAGAUUCUUAUGUGCAGAUGGUGAUCUAUAUAUUUCAAGUUGGUAUGCUUCUUCCGACUUACAUCUUAUCGGCCUCAUCUUCAAGAAGGCCAAAUAUAAUAUCCCUGAGUGUCUCGUAGCAUUCAAUCACUGCCGAGUACAUAUAAUCAUCAUUCAUAAUCUUCUUGAAUAAAUCCUCAUCCGACUUCCCCGUAAAAUCCUUUGCCAUGUCUAAUGCUAUCGGAAUCUUCACAAGUGAAAUCAAGUUAUGAGACUCACAUAUAGGCUUUGUAUCGAGUGUACAUUAAAAAUAUCAAGCCAUGAAAAGUGAGUACCUUGCUAGCAAGCAAGAAAGGGGGCCACUGGACAACAGAAACAUCACUUGAANNNNNNNNNNNNNNNNNNNNNNNNNNNNNNNNNNNNNNNNNNNNNNNNNNNNNNNNNNNNNNNNNNNNNNNNNNNNNNNNNNNNNNNNNNNNNNNNNNNNNNNNNNNNNNNNNNNNNNNNNNNNNNNNNNNNNNNNNNNNNNNNNNNNNNNNNNNNNNNNNNNNNNNNNNNNNNNNNNNNNNNNNNNNNNNNNNNNNNNNNNNNNNNNNNNNNNNNNNNNNNNNNNNNNNNNNNNNNNNNNNNNNNNNNNNNNNNNNNNNNNNNNNNNNNNNNNNNNNNNNNNNNNNNNNNNNNNNNNNNNNNNNNNNNNNNNNNNNNNNNNNNNNNNNNNNNNNNNNNNNNNNNNNNNNNNNNNNNNNNNNNNNNNNNNNNNNNNNNNNNNNNNNNNNNNNNNNNAAAGAAUUUGUAUUUGGUAUGGAAAACAUUACACAAAGCAAAUUAACUGAAUCCUAUCCACAAGAGUGCAGUGUGAAAACACUGGAGAUGGAUAGUACCACCAAGUGUUUCUUCUUUUUGGCAUCCUUAAUUUCUGAUGAUGGCAUAAGCCGAUCACUGAAAGCUGAAGGCACAGACUCAAAUCUGGACCGCAACAUCCCAAGUGUUCGUAUCUGAGAGACAACAAAUGAAUAAUCCUCAAACCCAAGCUGAGACAGAUCUAAAACACAUAUUCUUAAUUGUGAAUGAUAAUACAUGUAUAUAUACAGGAAAAUAUAUAUGUAAAUCUCAGUGAGAAUAUGCAACUGACCUCCCCCAAAUGGCUGAAGGCUCCGUGAAUCCCACCGAACAGAGUAGAAAAUAUUGCAUACCAUAUUUGUGCAUCCAUAAAGUAUACCUAUGUACCAGACAAAUCAUUGCAAAGUGGUAAAUGGGAUGAUAGUGUUCACAAACCGAGGAUUUCACUCGAGCAAAUUCUUCAUUGAUUCACUUACUAAGACAAUUGGAGCCCAUAUUGCAAUGACAACACCAAUAUUAUGAGUUGCUGCAUUAGUUCCAAAUUUGAGUUUGUAGUUAGACUUGCAGAUAAAACUAAAGUAAAACAUAGUAAAACAUAGUUCAAUAAGUUACCAUUAGGAAAGAACUCAUGCCAUUGAUAAUUAGUGAUAGACAUAUCCAUUAUCAACUUUGUUGGUGCAACAAGCGGCGAUAUCUAUUUCCAGAGUAUACAAAUUCAUGUCAGGUAAAAUAAAAUACAGUAAAAUAAACUCAGUUCAGCAUAUCCUCGAAGGAAAAACUUCUGUUACAGUAAAUGAAACUUGGUUCUAAUGAAUUAGCAGAAGUACCAUACAAGUUUGAAUGAAUUUUAGCAGUAAUAAAGCAAAACUUAAGGAAUUUGAGAGAAAUAACCUCCACAUAAUAGCUGAAUGCAAGCUUGCUGAUUAGCAGCAUGAUCCAGAACAAUGUAUAUCUGAUUAAACAAAAGGAAUAAAUCAGUCAUAUGAGAAAAAUAUGUAUUAUGAGAAAAAAAAAAAAAGUACCAUAAAUCAAAUCAAAAGUAAUGAUGAAUGACUGAGUGACUUGAAAAAUUAACGAUAAAUCAUAUAUAACUACAGAGACAAGCAGAAAAACAGCAAAGGGACCACACACAGUAUAUGCUUCUCUCAAAAGAUGAAGAAUAAAGGACGAAUGAAGAUUGUUUUUCUCUUACUUCAGCAGUGAGAAGACAUCCUCAUGCAUUCCUCUUCCGACAUACAGUUUUGGCUGCAAUAUGGCCACAAAGAAGAGUCAUAUGAGCCUAGCCAAAAUAUGAGCCUAGCCAAAACGCUAAAAAAGAGUCUAUGAAAUUACAAGAGAACAUGAACUUUGGUUAGACCAAUGAGAGAAACUUGCCUGAGCCCACCACAUAAAAAGAGUGACAAUGCGCCAGUUGGAACGCUCUAUGUGCCUCCGUAAAGGUGGAAGAAAAAAUAGCAUAGCAGCCAAUAUAUUAGGAACCAUAUAGAUUGCAACAGCAUAAUUAUAAAAUGAUUGAUUACGCCAAUCCCGAGUCCAACUACUGAAGAAUUUCAGAAGCCCUGUAGGAUUCUGCAUAGAACUUGAAUAACCAAUAGGCAGCACCACAGCCCAGACAACAGCUACUGCAAAUUUCAAAAGGUAUCGUAGUAUUUGAGUGAAUUUCAAGCUCUUCCAUGCAUUCCAACUGAGAAUUAUGUCCAAAGUGGCUGCAGAACAUAAUAGAAAAGACGACAAAGUGAAAAGACAGAAAAAUUAAGGAAAAGGAUGGCAUGCCAUUGACCAGAGUUAUGAUAUACCACAUACAUUAUAUGGAUGCCAAUGUCUCCCACCAUAAACCAGUUUUCAAACAAACUUAAAGAUUUAAGAUAACACCAGUACCUUGUAAUAAAUUCAGGAAAGCGUAUGUCAUGAAGAUGCUUAACACACUUUUGAAGACAGCCGCAUCAAAUAUUGAAGUGACAUAUCCAGAAGGACCCCAUGCAACAAUAAUCAUAGCCUGAUAAUCAGAACAUACUGUAAGGAGGAUUAUCCAAUAAAAGGAAAGACUCUCCAACCUCCCCCUAUUAACAGGAGUUGCAAAUUGGACACAAAAAGCUCCCCUAGAGAUCAAGUCUCAAGAUAUUUUAACAUCCCUCAACACAGCCAUCUCCAAGCAGACAGAAAUUUCAAAAUAGAUUUUUCUUUUUCAUUUUGAAAAUGUAAUUGCUGUUUUGACUUUUUCUUAACCAGGUUGAAGGCAAUUUACUCAAAUAAGAAAUACAUAAUUACACAUUAUUACUACCUGUAAAGCCAAUAUGAAGAAUAUCCACAUUCGAUCAAAACUUCUGUAGAGAUGCAAAAAGGUUCGAACUUCUACAAAAUUUGUUUUAGGCUUCCUCCUACCACCAGUAGCUUGAUUUGUCCUCUGUCGAAUACACGAAGAUCAAAUAACUUUGUAAAUAAAAAAAGAACUAAACAGACAAGGUUCUAGGACAUAGAAAAAUUGUAUUCAAAUAUGUGGAAUGUUUCAGCUGACCUUCUCCAGCCCAGAUAAAUAAAAUAAAGAAACAAAAAAUAUAUAUAAUACCUCAUUUGCUGGUUGUCUCACAUCCGAAUGCCUAAAGAAAUCUGCUUUAGGAUCCAUCGGCCACCCUAGCUUAAAACAUUUGUCCGACCUAGAAACAGCAAGCAGACCUUUCAGCUAUUUUAUAUCUGAACAGAAUCCAGCACAAAACUUUCCAUCCGCGAAACUCACCAGAAGUAUUCAUUCAGAUCAUCAUAAUUUCUCCAUCUUGAAUGACUUGCCUUGCCCAAUUUGUUUCUCUUUGCUUCCUUUAUAACCAAAGGGAAUUUCAAAUUUCCAAAUAAAUAACUGUAAUAGAAAUGGCUAGUGUUCAGUAGUAUGAAACUUUAAAUACUAUCUUUACCUUGAACAAAACCCCGUAGAUAGGAGCUAUAACAUCCCUCAGAAAAGAUUCUUCAUCAUGUGCUACUGUUUGGUAUGUUUCUCCACUAACAUGAUGAGCAUUGCUAUUUAAAAUUCCAUAGACUUCAUUUGCCAUCUUAAAAAUUAGGAAAAGAAUUUAUUAUCAGAGCAUUAUAAAUUUAAGGACAUGACUUUAAACAUUAAGGAGCAAUUUUGGGUAUCAGAACAAGCAUGGUUCUAACAGCAGCUUCUAUGACAACAUAGAAGAGAGGAGUUCCCUAGUGCGAUCUAAGUAAUGAUAACAAUACAAACAUCUAAGAAACAAACACAAGUUUAUGACAUGGAAUUAUGCAGACAUUAAUAAUGGAUGACCAAUAUGAAAACAAAACAUACAUACAUUAUGGAAAAUGUAGCACAAGCAUUCAGGCAUGAAUCGGACAUUUGAAGCUUCACCCCAUAUGAGCAGAUAGAGCGCAAUGUAUAUAAGUUCCAAUUGUUGUCUGUGAAAACCUUCAGGGAACCUGAAAAGUGUGGGAAAGAAGACAGAGAAAACGAGAUAGACAUUUCAGCGCCAAAAUUAUAAAAUUUUUAAGGCAUCAAGUUGAAAUGAUAGUAACCAGAUCACUCACCGAAGAUUUGAUUUAGAGUGCAGAUAGUUAUACCACGAGCGGUAGUUCUUAAAAAAUUUCUCCAUCAAAUGUUGUACAGUGGCACUAUUCAACUGCAAGAACCUCUCUGUUAAUCUUUUAGUGAUCACAUGACAGUACAGAUUAUGGCUACAGUUAUGAGAACUUAGUGCAUAUAAAGUUCAGAGCAAGGCAAUUUAGAUAAAGCAUCUCAAAGGAACAUAAAUUACCUCAGUGUAGUUCUCAAGACUUCUAUGUCUUACAUCAAUGUUGGCAAGUAGCAAAAUUAGAUGUUCCCUCUGAUUUGCCACAUUUCCUUUCUUCAUGUGCCAAAAUAAUAAGAUAACGUAGUAAUGUCAGAGAAUAAUACACUGUUGAAAAAUACAUCUAGAUAUAGCCUGCUGAAGCAAACAGUCCUUGAAAAUACUUAAAAACCCAUACACACACAAACAUAGCAAACACCAAGUUUCCAGUCAUGGAGCUAUGAGAUCCAUGAACAAAUUGGAAAGAGCUAUAAGAUCAAGGUUGGCUCAGUUGAUUGGGUCAAUGAAUAAAAGCAUAUAAGUAUAUAAGUAACUCGAUAAUUUAGAAACAAUAUAAAAGGAUAGCAUGAUUACAGUAAGCACAUCAUGGCAAAGGAUCAUUGACUUUGUAAUGAAAGCCUUUCUUCUAUAGUCCAAGUAUCAAUAUUGCAGUAGAAUUUCCUUUCAGAGCAUUAUUCUGUGUUUUUGUUAAAUAUAUUCAACUAUCCAGAAUAACGAGGGUCAGUACCCAUUAACAGUCAUUAGAAUGUCCACAUUCAUUACGAAUUCUAGUGUAACCUGCCUAGUAGUAGUAAUAAUCCUGAAAUCAAGACAAAUCCUUUUAGCAACUAAAUAUAGUGCUCAGAAAUCAGAACCUACAACAGUUUAGAAUACCGGUGCAAGUCUCUGAUUUGGCAUACAUAAAAAGUGAAGACAAAUGAAAUAAAGGCACUUAGAGCACAGGUUACCUGAAACCCAAAAAUAGCGGAAAGCCAAUCAAGUAUAUCAUUCACAGGUUUAAUCCUCUCUGUAGGCAUUGUCGACUUGUCAUCAGGAUUCGUGGGUUUAAAAUGCAUUCUUGGCAUUGGAAGAUUAUCCACAUUCUGUAGAGCACGGAGCGCUGCUUUGAUCUGAUAAUAUUCAGGAGAUGUCAGUGGAUAAGGCAGUAAACGCGAGAGUAAUAGUAUUUCAUGAAAUUAAAUUUGAAGAGGCAUAAAAAAGUCUCAUCUAGUGCAACAUUGACAACCUCAGGAAGUUCCAUAACUGCUGGUUUAACCCCGACAGUAUAUAACGGAAGAAUGUUAUAGUUUACAUACUGCUCCCUUUUCUCUUGACGUCUUCAGCAAUUUUCUGGCUCUGUAACAAUAAAAUCAAUAGAACAGCCAUUUUCAGCACCUUCUAAACCAACAAGACCAUUUAGAACUUGAGCAAUCCCCAAAUCAUAUAACUCAAACCUGUUUGUCUAUCUGAUUGGCAGGUACCACUGUCCUAAGCACAUCGUACAGUACAGUUGCAAUCUGACAAUUCCUGGCCAUCUCUUCCCUUCAAGGAUACAAAAAGAUAAAUCCAAGAUAUAAUGAAUAAUAAUAGAAAAUCUGCAAAAGAAAUGUAGUAGGGCCAUAUAUUCAAACACAAGACUUACGGUUUCUUUGUAUAUUCUCCAUCUUUGAUAUUUUUUUCAUAGAAUUCGUGGUAGUACAACUUGAUUUCGUUUGUAUCAGAUUUAGCAACCUGAUGUUUUGUAUCUCGUUCGUCCUGCAGCAAAAAGNNNNNNNNNNNNNNNNNNNNNNNNNNNNNNNNNNNNNNNNNNNNNNNNNNNNNNNNNNNNNNNNNNNNNNNNNNNNNNNNNNNNNNNNNNNNNNNNNNNNNNNNNNNNNNNNNNNNNNNNNNNNNNNNNNNNNNNNNNNNNNNNNNNNNNNNNNNNNNNNNNNNNNNNNNNNNNNNNNNNNNNNNNNNNNNNNNNNNNNNNNNNNNNNNNNNNNNNNNNNNNNNNNNNNNNNNNNNNNNNNNNNNNNNNNNNNNNNNNNNNNNNNNNNNNNNNNNNNNNNNNNNNNNNNNNNNNNNNNNNNNNNNNNNNNNNNNNNNNNNNNNNNNNNNNNNNNNNNNNNNNNNNNNNNNNNNNNNNNNNNNNNNNNNNNNNNNNNNNNNNNNNNNNNNNNNNNNNNNNNNNNNNNNNNNNNNNNNNNNNNNNNNNNNNNNNNNNNNNNNNNNNNNNNNNNNNNNNNNNNNNNNNNNNNNNNNNNNNNNNNNNNNNNNNNNNNNNNNNNNNNNNNNNNNNNNNNNNNNNNNNNNNNNNNNNNNNNNNNNNNNNNNNNNNNNNNNNNNNNNNNNNNNNNNNNNNNNNNNNNNNNNNNNNNNNNNNNNNNNNNNNNNNNNNNNNNNNNNNNNNNNNNNNNNNNNNNNNNNNNNNNNNNNNNNNNNNNNNNNNNNNNNNNNNNNNNNNNNNNNNNNNNNNNNNNNNNNNNNNNNNNNNNNNNNNNNNNNNNNNNNNNNNNNNNNNNNNNNNNNNNNNNNNNNNNNNNNNNNNNNNNNNNNUUGUCUAUUGUGAUAGAAAAGCCCUGGUUUCAGGAGCUCUUCACCGCAUAUAUUCAUUUUGAUUUGCACAUGGUGCAUUUUUAAUGUAGAUUUCUAGACCAUUUCCUAAGUUUAAGUUUUCAAGUUCAGUAUCCAUCUAAGACCAACAACGUUAAAUACUACAAGCUAAAGCAAAAGUAGAACAUUAGCAGAUCCAAGUAUUUUCUGCAGUGUGAACAGUAGUGAAACAUUUAACUGAUAAAGUAUAAUAGAAUAACAGUUUAAUCUUAUUUUCUUGUUUCAUUGUCUUACUGAUAUUGAGAUUCAGUCUACUAAUCAUAUGUAGUAAGACCGCAAAUCAGACCACUCUUCACAAAUAAGAAAAAGAAUAUGAGAAACCAGUAAGGACUUAAAGGUGUACCUUUUCGAGUCUGUGCAGAAGAUGAGUCUUAAACUGACGAACUCCCCGUCCACUUGAUGUUGGAUCCAUUUUAUGCGCCUUUUCAAAUCCAUGGAAGCGGCCUGUUUGAACAAAAUAUAUUAAUAUCUAGACAAUAAAUUCUUUUUCCACUGCCCAACAAGGAAGUACUUUCUGCCAGAUCCACAACAUAUAAUACAAUCUUAAGAGCAAGUUAUGCAGAAUAUGCAGAGAACACUAAGAUUCUAUCCUCAUUGAAUAAAGAAACUAAUAAACUCUUCUUAAAAUGUAAUACAGGUGUUAUGAUUACCCAUCAUAUCUGUCUUUGCUACAUUUUAGAAUCAUUUUUAACUACCAUCAAGGAAAUGCUGUCUACCAUAUUCAAAGCAUAAUACAAAUUCAUGGUACAAAAACUGAUAGUUCUAAGCUAAUUAAGCAGGAUAUUGAAGCAAAGAACAUUAAGAUUCUAUAAUUUUAGAUAUAAAUAUAUUCAUUUAGAAAUGAUCGGAAUAUAAACUAAGCUCAUUUUCUUAGUCAUACUUUCAUCUCCUAGUUAUUGUUUACAGUCCAGAAGCAGUAACAGUUCACUCACUAGCCCUCCAAAUAACUUCCUCUGUUAGUGAUUGAUAGUUGCAUCUCAAACUCUACAAAAGCAACUUUACAAGGAGGUUACAAUAGACAACCACCAAACAUUAUGAAGAGCAUCUCAAAGCAGCCACUAACAUCACGAAUAGUGUCAGGUAGACAGCGUCAAUUCGGUAGCCCACCACUCUAAAGUAAGCAAAAUAGCGGACAAGAAACACAUGAUGGGAGUUUUGGAACUUCCCUGUAAACUAUUUACACCUUAAUCUUCGGCUACAAUACGAAAUUCCUUUAGCACGAGGAGAAUCUGGAGUUACUUUGGGAUAAUACUGAGCUUUCAGCUUCUCUUUGGUCAGGCAUUCUGAAGGCAUCCUUGCUUUAACAAGAGAGCCUUGCACAUUGGAGAACUUUAUAAAUCAACAAGACAUCAAUCCUGACAACAAGUACCAGCUAUAUGGAUUCCCAAUUGCAGUCUAUCCUCAGAACAUACACAUAUCCAACUCAACUGCAAGCCUACUAGUGUCCCUAAAUUGACAGUAUCCGUCAGCCACUUCUCUUCCCCUUUGCCAGUACCUAGGACUGAUCGAGGCAAAAGAACAUCAUGUCCCCCAAAACUAUUCUUCAAAAUUCCUUAUAAUUUCCUUCAAAGGAACUCGAUUCCAAUUCCAUCAACCUAGCUACCAUUUCCCUACUCCUAUUCCUUUGCUCUAAAACUAUCAAACUAAGCAGGAACACCUUUCCUAAACAAUGAACAAAUUCCAUCAACAUAAAACUGUUUAAGCUUUUAUCGUUUGCAUAUACAUAACUCAACUAAAUAUCACUACUAUCAACUUAAAAAGUAAAAACAACAACGAAAUCGCUAACCAAUUAGACAAAACUACUUAAACUAGCAUAAGAGGGUCAAAAACGAAUUGACAUACAUAGAUAAGCAACCCUAGGGUUGUCCUUCUCAAUCUCAUUGGCAACCCUGAAAAUGGGAGCAAUAGAAGCAAGGCAGGAGGGCACAACUCCACUGUCCAGAGCAUCGUCGCCCUCCGUCGGAAAGUCCACAACUCUAGUAGACAUUCUCGUCAUCCCCCUCGACAGCGACCUCUGCGGCCCCGACGAGUCCACCGCCUUGGUCCCGCUCGAGCUCGCCAUUUCCUUCAAUACUAGUCUCCUCACUGAUUCUGAUGAAAAUGAGAGGUGUCAUUUUUUUGGGAGGGUUUUAUGUAGAGAAGGGUGUGGAGAUACUUUGGGAGAAGAGUGGGGCAAAGUGGGUUUUGCUCUCAAAGCAAGAAAGGAAUUGGAAGUGUUUUUGUUUUGUUUUGUUUUGGAGGAGCUUUUGUGAGUGCUUUUGCUUUAUAUUUCUUAAGAGCGGAGAGGUUCGAGGGAUAAACAAAUCUGCCAUCGCCAUUGCUUUUUCUCUCUUUCUGUCUAUCUGGGUCUUUUUCGCUUCUUUCUUUGUUUUAAAAAUGGUGGAGGAGUUUGCUUCGCCCUGGAAGUUUUACAGGGCGGGAACUGUGCAUGGGAGAAAGAGAGCGGCGGGCCACCACCAACACUCUUAUUGGAAAACGUACGAACACAUAUUUCAUUGCGAUUAAACCCCCAAAGUUUACCAAAUUGCUCAAAAAGCACUCAAAUCUUCAAGAAUUACAAUAGAUUUGGGGCCUCGAUCGUUAAAAUUUUCAAAACUAUUAUCAGUAAUCAUGAAAUGUGUACAUUUUACUUGGAAUGGAUUUAUUUCGUAAACUUUGUAAAGAAUUUCUCGUUUUACCUCUCUUUGAUAGCUUCUGAUUAGGCUCUUAACAAUAGAAACUCAUGUCUAGCUCAUCUUAUUUGAGAAAGAUGAUAAGUUCAAAAAGGCACUCAUUCACGCUGAUGAAUAAUUCUUAUGUGCAAGAUGAAUUAUAUGAAAUAAAUUGAAAUUUGGAAUUGUCUUUAUCUCCUAAAGAGACCAAAGGUUUCUAGGUUAUACCUUUAACAUGUGGAUACAGGAUACCCUUAACAUUUAAAUGUUUCUAGCAGAAUCAAGCUUGUAUCUCCAAAUGGGUUUCACAACAAAAGCAAUAUUACAUUACAAAAUAAACUAAAGUAGUAUCUAGAACUAGGUCCCCAUAACUAAUAAAGAGUACUCCAUGAUUACAAGUAUUACAAAUUUUAUGAGAUCUUUUUGGAUCGAAAAAAAAAUACAAUGAAUUCUUUUUCUCGUUUUCUUUUUCCAAUUUAGGAUGACAGGUAACAAAUUAUAAAGAUCUCUGGUAAGGAUCACAUGUUUGUCAGUGAUUUAGGGAUUAUAUAGCUCAUAACAAGUACUGACCAAUGGCCAACGAAUAAUUGGAAAUGUCUAAUGGUCAACAAGUAAUGAGUAACAAGUAACGGCGUUGUCAACGGGUAACGAUUUUUUAUGUUUAAGAUUUCAAGCCAGAUACUAAUAAUUAAUAAUUAAAGAUAGUCACGACUCACAAGUAAUAGAAAAUAGAUUAUGAUUAACUUUAAAGAUUUCAAGAUGUGAGGGGCGUAGUGGCAGGUGCUAAAACACUAGUUUUUUUAUUUUUUUUAAUGACCUAAGAGGCAAGUAGUUGAUAAAGCAUUACAACACUACAAGAAUUGGGGAAAAUGUGAAAUGCAAACCUGUGCUCAAACCAGGUGUUGUUUGGAGUAUCGGGGAUGGUAGACAUGUCAACAUUUGGCGAGACAAAUGGAUUCCUGAGUGUUCACUGAUCACAAUAUUUGAUUCAAAAACCACCAAACUGUGUUUGAGCUAGUGUCGGAUGUCAUUGACACUAACUAACGACCUGAGGUUGCUCAAAGGUCCUGUGUCUUCCUUUAAGUGAACGAAACUUGGAGGACAAGCUUUGUUGAAGCCCUGAAAAGCGUGGUUUUUACUCAGGUUAAAACGGCAUUUGAAGAAAGAGAAGUGUGCUAAAUUGAUAAUGGUGAUAUGGUCCUCGUGGAAGAACAUGAACAAUAUGCUAUGGAAUAAUACGAAUCAAAACUCCUCAUGAUUUGAUGCUGGGAGCUUUAGCUUGGUUCGUUUCAACAAGGCAAGAACUGUGUCAAAGCAAACUCAGAUCGACAACCAAGCAAUGCUCGAGCCUACAACACUAGGGAGAUGUAAACUAAACGUCGACGGCAGUUUUUUACCUUCAAUUAGUCAUGGUUGAACCGUAGAACCGGGGGUCGUACUAAGAGAUGAAAAGGGGAAUUUCAAAGCAGUUUUUGCUAUCCCUAUAUCUUCAGCGGCUUCAGCGGAACAGGUGGCAUUAUGUGCCAGGUUUAAAGCUGCUUGAAACAAUGAAGAUUAUCAAUGUGGUAAUGGACUAUAUGGAAGCCAGCACAAACAUCUCAGAUGUGCAAAGUAUGCAUCUUGGAUUGGAGGGCCUUCUGCAAGAUAUUAGAGCUGCAAUCUCUCUAUACCAGGUAUGACUGCAACAUGCAAGUAGAGACUGUAACAGGGGUAGCACAUUGGCUUGCAAACACUGCAUAUGAGGAUACCAAUAGAUCAGUUUGGCUAGACAACCCACCUAUAUGUAUUCUUGAAAUUCUAAAGCAUGAUGUACCUAACCUGGGUGGCUAAUAUGCGCCCAGUGUUUCAAUAUAGUAACACCAUUCGGGGAAUUAAAAAACAUUUGGGAAUAAUAUAUCAUAAACCAUAGUGACAGAUGCAUAUUCAAAUUUCAAAAGAGAUGCUUAACACUGCAACAAAAAGCUCUGCAUUCUUUUAUUACUUCAGGAUAUAUGUACCAAUAAUAUACACUCAUCACGAACAUCCAUAUGAGAAUCAUCUACAUGUAAACUGGGUGUAUAUAAUACGACUCACAGGAUGAUUAACUUUUGCAGUGAUGGAAAGCAUUCAUUGCAGAAUGUGCCUCUAGCAGUCCUGCGAUACAACUCUGUACAUGAACCAAAGGCAAAAGUCGGUAGGAUCCACGUCUGCAGUAAAAAUGGUAGUACAGGAUGACAGGUGAGCCUCCAUGUUCAUUUGAACUUCGUCUGCAGUGCAUUAGUCUAGAAACAUUUGCAUUUGUGCAUCAGCAUUCUCAAAAUCUCUUCUUCAGAGACAAGAUAACAUUGAGAGCUACAUGAGUUUUCCUUAUACGGGACUUGGUCGCGACGCCUGCAUUGUACAAAAAAGUCAAAUUAAUGUCUGAAUGUCUUCCCUUCUUAAAUGAUAGAAUCCCGUAAUUUAAUGAAAAAGUUUCAAGGCUUUGUAGGAGAGAAAAAACAAGAUUAAAUGUCAGCACAAUGGAAUAGAAUAAGAACAAGACCUGAUUAUUUGAACUUGUUACAGUAGCCCAUUGACGAGGAUGCUGUGGCCCCACUCCAGCGUGGCUGAUGAAUGCAAUUGUUGUUGAUUGUUCCCGUCGGCGAUUAGUGAUUGGGGGUGGCAAUUCUCUCAUGAACCACAAUACAAAAGCUGAGGGUACCCAAGAGCCUGAAGAUAGAAGGGAAGAUAAUACUUGAUGACAAACUUUUUUUUUUGGUCAAAAAUACUUGAUGACAAACUUGAAAAGCAAAAUUGCAAGCAGCUGAAAAUGGAAGAUAGUAUUACCUAUAAAAUAGUACAGCAUCAGGAAAAUUAGCGCUUUCCCGCCAUAUGCUUUUUUCAGACUCCAAGGAUCAUAUAGCUGGCAAAGAGUUAAAGUGAGGUAAACAAGAAGUAAAUGGUAAACGAUGAAAGAAGUGGCACAAAGCAGUAAGUAAGAUCGUUCCCAAUGAACAACUUACAGGUUUAUCAGUAAGAAGAGCUACUAAUGCACUUGAUGUAAAGCAUACAACAGAAGCAACUGCUAAACCGCCAACCUGCAUGUUGUACAAACAACAAAACUUACUAAAUAGAAGCAGAACUGUGCCAAUUCAAGUGCAUAAAUACUUACAGCAUACAACAGUGUAAGCAAUUGCAUCAUCACAUGUGCACGCGUAGGAAUUUCUAUUCAAAGAAGAGCACAAUGCAUUUUG